Molecule: small RNA, 50 nt
Filed under: Arabidopsis thaliana (thale cress)
Lineage: Eukaryota; Viridiplantae; Streptophyta; Magnoliopsida; Brassicales; Brassicaceae
Description: ATSL213610
Source: RNAcentral
UUUUUUUUUGGUUUUUUUUUUGGUUUUUGUUUAAAAUAAAAGUACUAAAU